Molecule: ribosomal RNA, 88 nt
Filed under: uncultured bacterium
Lineage: Bacteria
Description: partial 16S ribosomal RNA
Source: RNAcentral
GAAUUCGCCCUUCGCCCGCCGCGCGCGGGCGGGGCGGGGGCACGGGGGGCUACGGGAGCAGCAGCCGCGGUAAUACAAGGGCGAAUUC